RNAcentral lists this ribosomal RNA (1533 nucleotides) under Triticum aestivum (bread wheat). RNAcentral's name for it is "partial small subunit ribosomal RNA". The record is from RNAcentral. Lineage: Eukaryota; Viridiplantae; Streptophyta; Magnoliopsida; Poales; Poaceae.
AUGGCGGCCACGCCGUUGCUGUCGGGGGAGGACACGACGACGCCGUUGCAUGGCGUCGUCGUGAUCGCCCUCCCGGACCACGCCGACGGCGGGGGCCGGGACGCGUCGCCCAGGAGCGAGGCGCCGGCGCCGGCGGCCCUGGGACGGGCGUGGAGGCUGCUGCGGCUGGCCACGGCGCCGCUGGUGGUGCUCGCGGCGUUCGCGGUGGCGGCGCACUGCUACGGCCUCUACUCCUUCUCCUUCUCCGGGGAGGAGGACUGGAAAUGGGGCGAGGGGCGCGCCUCCUCCUUCCUCCUGCCGCUGCACCCCAAGCCCAAGCCCGCCGCCGCCGGCGUCAAGGCCGCGGCGGCGGAGAGGGAUUCGACCACGGCCGUGCUGCCGGAGAGGCAGUACUACACUUCUGUAAACAUUGGCAAUCCUGCAAGGCCCUAUUUCCUUGAUAUUGAUACAGGAAGUGCACUCACAUGGAUCCAGUGUGAUGCUCCCUGCACAAAUUGCACAAAGGGGCCUCAUCCUUUGUAUAAGCCCGCAAAAGAAAACAUAGUUCCACCUAAGGAUUCACAUUGUCAGGAAUUGCAAGGCAACCAAAAUUACUGUGACACCUGCAAACAAUGCGACUAUGAGAUCGCGUAUGCGGACCGAAGCUCCUCUGCCGGCGUGCUUGCGAGGGACAACAUGCGACUGGUCACCGCGGACGGUGAGAGGGAAAACAUGGACUUCGUCUUCGGGUGUGCACAUGAUCAACAAGGAAAGCUUCUAGACUCACCAGCAAGUACUGAUGGGAUCCUUGGCCUCAGCAACGGGGCAAUGAGCCUCCCUACCCAGCUAGCCAAGCAAGGGAUCAUUUCCAACGUUUUCGGCCAUUGCAUCGCCACGGAUCCCAGCAGUAGUGGCUACAUGUUUCUCGGUGAUGAUUACGUUCCCAGAUGGGGAAUGACAUGGGUUCCCAUCCGCAACGGUCCAGAGGACGUGUACAGCACGAUAGUACAGAAAGUGAACUAUGGAGGUCAGGAGCUUAAUGUGCGAGAGCAGGCUGGGAAGCUGACUCAAGUGAUCUUCGACAGCGGGAGCUCAUACACUUAUUUUCCGCAUGAAAUAUACACAAGCCUGAUUGCUUCGCUCGAAGCGGUCUCUCCAGGCUUUGUACACGAUAAAUCAGAUCAAACGCUGCCUUUUUGCAUGAAGCCUAAUUUUCCAGUGAGGUCUGUGGAUGAUGUGAAGCAACUGUUCAAGCCCUUGCUCCUGCAUUUCAGCAAAGCAUGGCUUGUGAUCCCAAGAACGUUCGCAAUUUCUCCCGAGAACUACUUGAUCAUCAGCGACAAGGGCAAUGUCUGCCUAGGGGUGCUUGAUGGAACAGAGAUUGGCCACAGCUCAACAAUAGUAAUUGGAGAUGUUUCCCUCCGUGGGAAGUUAGUUGCGUAUGACAACGACGAGAAUCAGAUCGGAUGGGCUCAGUCAGACUGCAGCAGGCCACAGAAAGCAAGCAUGGUUCCGUUCUUCCUUUCGAAAGCAUUGCGCAGUCAACUUCUUUAA